CUUGGGUCCUUUGCUGCAUUUAGUCCUCUGGAAGAAUCCGGCAACGCUUCACCAUUUGUCUCAUUGUCUGGUAACCCACGUCCCCCGCUGAAGAAAUAUGUAGUUUGCAGAUCAAAUGUUUGGAAUGUGGUUAUGAUGAAUUAGGACUAAUAUACGUGUGAACCUGUUGAUCUACAACUGGUCUUAUUCCAACAUUUUCAAAAAAGGGAACCGUCAUUGGAAACCUUAGCGGUACUACCAGGUUAGGUGAUAAAUGGAAAGAAAUUCCAUAAUAGCCACAUUCCCUUCGGGAACAGAAUAAACCACCAACGAAUAUUAAAUUUGGGCGAACUGCUUGUGUGGAAUUAUCUAUCCACAAUUUUGAUGUUGGCGCACAUCAAGAAGUCAUGUGAAGGAAACAUGUAUUCUGCGGACUAAAGUCUAGGAUAUCUGGCUUCAAGUACUACAGGAAGUUUAGUACACAGGAUUUUGAGUGCAGGGAUGGUCCUUAGUUUGAUAGUUUAUAGAAGUGUUCACGUUGAGGCUCAUAAUAUCUUGGUUGUUAAUUAUUCAAAAUUUUAUUUCAUAGUGGUAAUUCUCAAGUUGUAGAUAUAAAAUUUUAUACUUAAGUUCCAAGUAUUCUCAUUGCAUUGAUAAAAGCUUCUUGAUAUUGAACAGAAUUGUCAUUUACAUAAGCAAGUUGAUCCUUUUUCUAUUUGAGAAUUUUUCAAAAAAAAAAAAAAAAUCAAAUAUAAAAUUCACUUCUUGGAUAUUUUUCCAAUUUUAACUUCGUGCGUUUAUAUGUCAGUUUUGUAAAUGUUAGCAUUGUUAAACUUAUGAGCCUCGUCAUUAAACCCCAUUCUGAGCAGUGCACUUAUUUAUAACUGUAAACAUUUGUAUUCACGAAAAUGCUUAUCCAUGUGAGGUAUAUGAUUUUUGAUGUGUUAGUUAUAUUAAGCUUAUAUAAUUUUAUACCUUUGGGCCUGUUUUGGUCUUGGCACCACUUUUGCUUGCAAGUUUACUGAUUGUUAAACACUUAACAUAAUGACAUUUAGUUUAUUGAACUUUAUUUUUAUUCAACUUUUAAACCAUGCUAAAAUUCUAUAACAUGUGUUUUGAAUUCUGAUGAAAAGUUGCAAUUUUUGGUCAUCCCUUAGAAAGUGACCAGUGAAAAUCAAAUAAUCUUAAGAAGCAAGCAAAGUGAUAUCAUUCGGACAAAAUAGUCAAGAACUUACAUGUUAUAAUUAUAGGUAAAUUACAGAUAAAUGCAAUGAAAUUCAACCAUUUAAACAAUGGAUAAGUUUAACAGUAAAUUCAAUUUUAGUUGCUGAACUUCCUGAGUUUUCGUAUGAUAAAACUGGAUAAGUUUAGUUUGUGAUGGAAGGUCUUGAGUUGUGGUGUUGUUUUAGAUUUAGCAGGCCUUAUGCCAGCACGAGCUCUUGCUUAUAGAGCAGCCCGUAAUGAAACUAUUAUUGUACCUAUAGGCUAAGAUGCACUUAUGUUGUGUAUCUUGUCCGCGUCAGGCUCGUCAGACCAGCCAGGUACUGAGCCGUUCAAAGUCAUAUUCCGCACACUACUAUUACUACUACUACUACUGAUAUAGUACGUAUUUGUCGAUAGUGGUUCAAGUGUGGUAUAUUGGAGUAUUCCUCUGUGCUAAGCAUUUAGUCUAAGCUCAAUUUCCAGUCUGAUAAUUGCUUGAGCAUUUGGUGUAGAUUAAACUCCCCUUGAUGUCAGUAAUUCUUAAGUUAGUGCAGUGAAUCUUAUGAAUCUUAGGUCAGGAUUAUGUACUGAAGUUUUUAAAUCAUUGAAGAAGUACGCAUUGCUGAGUUUAUCUGAUUUCCAUUGUUAGAGCUAUACAACUGGCGAGAGUGGGGUUUACUUUUGUAUGUUAAUGUACCAUUAUUGCUCGUAAGUGUUUUUUGCAUCUGAAGAAAACUUCUGUAAUUUUAAGUUCAAGUCUCUCUCUCUCUCUCUCUCUCUCUCUCUCUCUCUCUCUCUCUCUCUCUC
Molecule: long non-coding RNA, 1989 nt
Organism: Macrobrachium nipponense
Lineage: Eukaryota; Metazoa; Arthropoda; Malacostraca; Decapoda; Palaemonidae
Exons: 3
Source: RefSeq, a predicted model, not a curated record